UACAUAGGGUGCGAGCGUUAUUCGGAUUUAUUGGGCGUAAAGAGCUCGUAGGCGGUUCAACAAGUCGGGUGUUAAACCCCCAGGCUCAACCUGGGGCCGCCACCCGAAACUGUUGUGACUAGAGUUUGGUAGGGGAUCACGGAAUUCCUGGUGUAGCGGUGGAAUGCGCAGAUAUCAGGAGGAACACCAGUAGCGAAGGCGGUGAUCUGGGCCAAUACUGACGCUGAGGAGCGAAAGCGUGGGGGAGCGAACAGGAUUAGAUACCCUGGUAGUCCACGCCGUAAACGGUGGGCACUAGGUGUGGGGACUUUUCAACGGUUUCCGCGCCGCAGCUAACGCAUUAAGUGCCCCGCCUGGGGAGUACGGUCGCAAGACUAAAAC
RNAcentral lists this ribosomal RNA (381 nucleotides) under uncultured bacterium. Its description in RNAcentral is "bacterial SSU rRNA". It matches the Rfam family "Bacterial small subunit ribosomal RNA", at positions 524 to 900 of the family's 1533-position model. The record is from RNAcentral.